RNAcentral lists this ribosomal RNA (562 nucleotides) under uncultured bacterium. RNAcentral describes it as "bacterial SSU rRNA". It matches the Rfam family "Bacterial small subunit ribosomal RNA", at positions 338 to 916 of the family's 1533-position model. The record is from RNAcentral.
CCUACGGGAGGCAGCAGUGGGGAAUCUUGCGCAAUGGGCGAAAGCCUGACGCAGCCAUGCCGCGUGAAUGAUGAAGGUCUUAGGAUUGUAAAAUUCUUUCACCGGGGACGAUAAUGACGGUACCCGGAGAAGAAGCCCCGGCUAACUUCGUGCCAGCAGCCGCGGUAAUACGAAGGGGGGCUAGCGUUGCUCGGAAUUACUGGGCGUAAAGGGAGCGUAGGCGGAUAGUUUAGUCAGAGGUGAAAGCCCAGGGCUCAACCUUGGAAUUGCCUUUGAUACUGGCUAUCUUGAGUAUGGGAGAGGUUAGCGGAACUCCGAGUGUAGAGGUGAAAUUCGUAGAUAUUCGGAAGAACACCAGUGGCGAAGGCGGCUAACUGGCCCAUUACUGACGCUGAGGCUCGAAAGCGUGGGGAGCAAACAGGAUUAGAUACCCUGGUAGUCCACGCCGUAAACGAUGAGUGCUAGUUGUCGGCAUGCAUGCAUGUCGGUGACGCAGCUAACGCAUUAAGCACUCCGCCUGGGGAGUACGGUCGCAAGAUUAAAACGUUAAAUGAAUUGACGG